Molecule: ribosomal RNA, 467 nt
Filed under: uncultured bacterium
Lineage: Bacteria
Description: partial 16S ribosomal RNA
Rfam family: Bacterial small subunit ribosomal RNA
Source: RNAcentral
ACGCACGCUGGCGGCGUGCUUAACACCUGCCAGUCGAACGGAAAGGCCCUGCUUUUGUGGGGUGCUCGAGUGGCGAACGGGUGAGUAACACGUGAGUAACCUGCCCUUGACUUUGGGAUAACUUCAGGAAACUGGGGCUAAUACCGGAUAGGAGCUCCUGCUGCAUGGUGGGGGUUGGAAAGUUUCGGCGGUUGGGGAUGGACUCGCGGCUUAUCAGCUUGUUGGUGGGGUAGUGGCUUACCAAGGCUUUGACGGGUAGCCGGCCUGAGAGGGUGACCGGCCACACUGGGACUGAGAUACGGCCCAGACUCCUACGGGAGGCAGCAGUGGGGAAUAUUGCACAAUGGGCGGAAGCCUGAUGCAGCAACGCCGCGUGCGGGAUGACGGCCUUCGGGUUGUAAACCGCUUUCGCCUGUGACGAAGCGUGAGUGACGGUAAUGGGUAAAGAAGCACCGGCUAACUACGUG